Molecule: long non-coding RNA, 804 nt
Filed under: Salmo salar (Atlantic salmon)
Lineage: Eukaryota; Metazoa; Chordata; Actinopteri; Salmoniformes; Salmonidae
Description: lncRNA (ENSSSAG00000104785.1)
Source: RNAcentral
UGAUAAAAACAGGUCUGGGGUCAGUCAGUCAGAGCUAUCCUGGUGGUCCUGGUGCUAAGAUCAGUCAGUCAGAGCUAGCCUGGUGGUCCUGGUGCUAAGAUCAGUCAGUCAGAGCUAGCCUGGUGGUCCUGGUGCUAAGAACAGGCCUGGGGUCAGUCAGUCAGAGCUAGCCUGGUGGUCCUGGUGCUAAGAACAGGUCUGGGGUCAGUCAGUCAGAGCUAGCCUGGUGGUCCUGGUGCUAAGAACAGGUCUGGGGUCAGUCAGUCAGAGCUAGCCUGGUCGUCCUGGUGCUAAGAACAGGCCUGGGGCCAGUCAGUCAGAGCUAGCCUGGUGGUCCUGGUGCUAAGAACAGCACUGGGGCCAGUCAAACAGAGCUAGCUUGGUGGUCCUGGUGCUAAGAACAGGACUGGGGUCAGUCAGUCAGAGCUAGCUUGGUGGUCCUGGUGCUAAGAACAGGACUGGGGCCAGUCAAACAGAGCUAGCUUGGUGGUCCUGGUGCUAAGAACAGGCCUGGGGCCAGUCAAACAGAGCUAGCUUGGUAUGCCUCUUACAACCUCCAUAGUAGUUGUCUCUAUACAGCCCAAACAGAUGUGGGACCACCAGUCUAAGUCAGAGCCAGUGGAAGCUUCAUUUCUUCAUCCCUUCAUCUCCUAGCAGCUCUGGUAUCUCUGGCACUAAGAGCCUUUUUGGCUUCUGACAGACUUACUGACAGACACAGUGGAAGGCUGGAGGGGAGGGGGGUGAUUCUCUAGGCUGGAGGACGGCCAUCUCUCUCUAAACCCGCUCACUUCAACUCAGAGGUCC